CUCUUCUAAAACCUUCCGGUUCUCCCGAUGGUCGUCUACCUCAUCAAAAACAAGACUUAAAUCUCGACUAAAAUAACCGAUUCAUCCAAAUAUUGAUGGAUUGAUUUUUUUAAUUUCCUAAAAACUCUAUGAUAACAUUGAGUUUCUCUAACCAUGAAAAUCAAAUCAUAGAAACAUAAAAGGUGCGUUUUUCUAUUCUCUUGAUUGUUUCUCGUUGAUGCCCAUCCCAAAAUACUUUUAAUCCAAAUGGAAGAACAUGGAAUUUCUCAACUACCACAACUCAUAGCAAUUUCAGAAUCACAGCAUGUGAUCAACUAAAUCAGAAACCUUCAAUCGAUUCGGCACAUCUAUUAACAGGCGAAAUAGGUGGAUGCACUGGCAAAUCUGGCGACGGACAGAAGUCAACAAGGAUCCUCUGGUUUAGAUUUUGAAUAAAUUUUGAUAGGAAGGAGAAUAUCUAAAUUAGUUCGAAAAGAAUUGCCUAAUGUAAUGAAUUCUAAUGUUCUUACGUAAAAGUGUAUAAAAGUAAAGUAUUGACUAGAUGUUAUUGGAAAGUAAUACGCGGUAGUUACAAAA
Long non-coding RNA from Papaver somniferum (opium poppy), 576 nucleotides. RefSeq lists it as uncharacterized. The record is from RefSeq and is a predicted model, not a curated record. The transcript is spliced from 2 exons. NCBI's taxonomy places the organism in Eukaryota, Viridiplantae, Streptophyta, Magnoliopsida, Ranunculales, Papaveraceae.